CCCUUAGAUGUUCUGGGCCGCACGCGCGCUACACUGAUGCAUUCAACGAGCCUAUCCUUGACCGACAGGUCCGGGUAAUCUUUGAAUCUGCAUCGUGACGGGGAUAGAUUAUUGCAAUUAUUAAUCUUCAACGAGGAAUGCCUAGUAGGCGCAAGUCAUCAGCUUGCGUCGAUUACGUCCCUGCCCUUUGUACACACCGCCCGUCGCUCCUACCGAUUGGGUGUGCUGGUGAAAUGUUCGGAUCGGCCGUUUGUCGCGGUUUCCGCGUCAUGUGGCUGAGAAGUUCAUUAAACCCUCCCACAUAGAGGAAGGAGAAGUCGUAACA
This 325-nucleotide ribosomal RNA is filed under the name uncultured eukaryote. RNAcentral's name for it is "partial 18S ribosomal RNA". It matches the Rfam family "Eukaryotic small subunit ribosomal RNA", at positions 1470 to 1796 of the family's 1831-position model. The record is from RNAcentral.